This 842-nucleotide ribosomal RNA is filed under the name Curvularia lunata. RNAcentral's name for it is "partial large subunit ribosomal RNA". It matches the Rfam family "Eukaryotic large subunit ribosomal RNA", at positions 71 to 931 of the family's 3401-position model. The record is from RNAcentral. Lineage: Eukaryota; Fungi; Ascomycota; Dothideomycetes; Pleosporales; Pleosporaceae.
GGGAUUGCCCUAGUAACGGCGAGUGAAGCGGCAACAGCUCAAAUUUGAAAUCUGGCUCUUUCAGAGUCCGAGUUGUAAUUUGCAGAGGGCGCUUUGGCUUUGGCAGCGGUCCAAGUUCCUUGGAACAGGACGUCACAGAGGGUGAGAAUCCCGUACGUGGUCGCUAGCUAUUGCCGUGUAAAGCCCCUUCGACGAGUCGAGUUGUUUGGGAAUGCAGCUCUAAAUGGGAGGUAAAUUUCUUCUAAAGCUAAAUAUUGGCCAGAGACCGAUAGCGCACAAGUAGAGUGAUCGAAAGAUGAAAAGCACUUUGGAAAGAGAGUCAAACAGCACGUGAAAUUGUUGAAAGGGAAGCGCUUGCAGCCAGACUUGCUUGCAGUUGCUCAUCCGGGCUUUUGCCCGGUGCACUCUUCUGCAGGCAGGCCAGCAUCAGUUUGGGCGGUGGGAUAAAGGUCUCUGACACGUUCCUUCCUUCGGGUUGGCCAUAUAGGGGAGACGUCAUACCACCAGCCUGGACUGAGGUCCGCGCAUCUGCUAGGAUGCUGGCGUAAUGGCUGUAAGCGGCCCGUCUUGAAACACGGACCAAGGAGUCUAACAUCUAUGCGAGUGUUUGGGUGUCAAGCCCGAGCGCGUAAUGAAAGUGAACGGAGGUGGGAACCCGCAAGGGUGCACCAUCGACCGAUCCUGAAGUUUACGGAAGGAUUUGAGUAAGAGCAUGGCUGUUGGGACCCGAAAGAUGGUGAACUAUGCUUGAAUAGGGUGAAGCCAGAGGAAACUCUGGUGGAGGCUCGCAGCGGUUCUGACGUGCAAAUCGAUCGUCAAAUUUGGGCAUAGGGGCGAAAGAC